Long non-coding RNA from Brassica napus (rape), 1640 nucleotides. RefSeq lists it as uncharacterized. NCBI's taxonomy places the organism in Eukaryota, Viridiplantae, Streptophyta, Magnoliopsida, Brassicales, Brassicaceae. The record is from RefSeq and is a predicted model, not a curated record. The transcript is spliced from 2 exons.
GCUACAGCUUGAUUCGCGGCGCACAACGGAUGUGGAUAGGCUGAGCUGUCAGGAGAAGACCGUUGAAGAGUGGUGUGAGUAAGCAAAGAUUUGAGUUUCGAAGUUGAAAUGGGUCUCUCUACUUUGUCAAUAAGUUGGCCUUUGUCAAUAAGUUGGCCUUGUUCUUUCACUUGAGUUGGGCUUCCUAUAAUUCUGACGCUCCAAAGGAGUAAUACGCCGGUGGCGAAAAAAGGUCAGUCGUCAACUCGUCACUAACCAUCACUUCUUUGAGAUUCUAUCGCCCGUGGUGAUAUAUAUAAGUCUUAGAUAUAGGUAAAAAUAAUAUAAAUGUAUGUUCAAAUUUAGAUUAUUUGUAAGUAUAUAAAAAUUGUUUCUGUUUUAAUAGUAAUAAUAUUUUUAUUUGUAUAAAAUAACGGUGUAGAUCGGAUAUCCGGCCUUGAAAUUUUUAGUAUUCGUAAUAUGUUUUGUUUUUAGCGGAUAUUGACUUUUAAUAUUUAAUUUGCUCCGAAAAUUUAUAGAUAUCUAAAUGUUCUAGAUCAAGUCAAAACAAAUAACAAAACAAAAAAAAUUAACAGAAAAAUGCACAGUCAGUCACAAGCGUCGUGCCGUGUUAGACCAUGAAUGUACAUUAUCGUUGAUUAUUAUAUGGGCAGACACUUGUCCAAUGCUUACGCGUGUGGAUAUUUCGGCCACUCCGGUGAAGUAAUGUUCUCUAUUAUAAACAGGAAAAAAUAUUAUCGAUGACGACGUUGUCAAUUUUGUGUGUUUUCUGUGGAACGGUCAUCUUGUUAUACGAAUCUUCUUGAUUAUGAUUAAUGAAUUUAAGUCGUACAGUAGCUGUCAACCAAAAAGAAAAAGUCGUUUUAAUAUAUAAAAAGAGUAGUCUAUCUACUUCUGCGGGGUAGAACUAGAACAAGUUGUAAUACUUUUUAGAAUUUUAAAAUUAGUAGUAACUCAUAGUUUAGUCGUUGGAAGAUGUAUGAGCAUCACCAGAACCACAAAUCGACCGCUAUAACAUUAUUAUAUAUUUGAAUGAACGGGUCUUACAGGAAAGCAUUUGAAAUUCUUUUCAAAUGCCUACACAUGAGAUUCCAUGCCAAGUAAUAUUAAAACAGAAUCAUUCCUAAAAAAAAUAAUUAAAAAGUUAUUGGACCUUUUUAUUAACUAAUUAUUUUUUUUGGUCCUACUUAAUAUUUCACAAACAAUAGAAGGUAACAUGAGAUACAUAUCAAAUUAAAUGGUUUAAUCAAUCCAUUUAUUUAUUUUUAGACUACCGAAUGAUGUAUCUCACGUUAGGAAAUACAUAUUUACCUUAUAUUCUAAUAGUUUUUUUUGUUAAGAAUAUAUUAUAUAUACAAUUUUCAAAACAGAAUACAGAAAAUGAUUAAAUACUAUUAAAAAUAAAUUAUCUAAAAAUCUAUUUGAACAAAGUUGUUGUUCCUAUUCAUUAGUAAAUUAUUGGUCUUACUUAAUAUUUUUCUAACAAUACAAGGUCACGUGACAUACAUAUCAAAUUUUAAGCGUGGAUCCGGAUCCGUUAUUCAAAUACCUGUAAAAUAUUUAUAAUUUUUGGAUAAGUAUGAAAUACAAAUUAACUUGGUAUUUUAGGACUCGAAAAAGACUCGAAGUACCUCAAAACC